CACACAUAACCAUACACACACACACACACAUAACCAUACACGUGAACACACACACACACAAAACCAUGGUUUUAUACAAAACCAUGUGUCAAACCGUGUGCCACAAACACACACACACACACACACCCUCAAUGUAUUUUUUUCUUUCUCUCGGAUAACACACACACACUUCUCCCUCAUUCCACACACACACACACGCACACACCCUCCAUCUACAGAGAUCGGAGAUCUCUCUUCUCCCAAACACACACACACACACACAGAGAUCGGAGAUCUCUCUUCUCCAUUCUCCGAUCUCUCUUCUCCCUUCUCCGAUCUCUCUUCUCCCAAACACCCACAUACAAAGAGAGAUCUCCGAUCUCUCUUCUCCCAAACACACACACACACACAGAGAUCUCUCGAUCUCUCUUCUCCCUUCGCCGUUGAUCGUGGCUCUGGCGAAGUCGGAGUUGGCUCAGUCGUCUCUGGCGGUGCGCCGCUGAGCAAGGAUCACGUUCAGUCAUCUGGUUCGUCUUCGUCUUCGUCAGGUUUUUAGGACGAAAUCGGCCCGGGAAUAGGCACACCGUCUCCGGCGUUCUUCUCCGACGUCGCCUCGGAGUCCGAUUGCACCAAACUCAAAAAAAUUUCGCCGAUAUUUCCAAAAUAUCGCGAUAUUAUCGAUAUUAUCGAUAAUAUCGCGAUAUUUGGCCGAAAACCAUUCGGAUACCACUUAGAAUAUCCAUCACCCGAAAAACCGAUAAUAUCGGCGAUAUUACGCCGAUAUUAUCGGCAUUUUCUUCCAUGGUUAUAACCAAUGGGCAUUUGCCCAUCCAUAAUCUCGAUUAGACAGUUCACACAGCUCCUGCAACAGGAAAUGAUGUCUUCAACAAGGUCAGAGGAAUUUGCCGCACAUCUCCGAAAACGUCGCUUAAAACGGAACUUGCAGUGGUUUCCCAUGUGAGGAUGAAGAGGAAGGCUCCGUUUGUGAGCUUUAGCCAACGACGAUGCCUGAAUCCCCUGAUUCCGUCGUUCUCUGCUACUCCAUCAUUGUCGUCGAUACGUUCAUCACAAGCACAAGAGCCAACUUCUCCAACGCACAUGGGCGCACGCAUGCCCAUUGCACUUCAACGACGACGGGGCGCCGAAACAGUGGCCCUGGGAGAUCCUGCACCAUCAGGUCAAGUCUUACUACACAAGUAGAGAUGAUGCUGGUGUUCGUCACAAAUGGGGCCGACAAGUUCAUGGUCUUAAGCCAUUCUUCCAUUUUCGGCAACGGCGUGCGAAGUGGAAACUGUUGUACACGGGUCGCUCAUCCCGACAGAGCAAUAAGGAUAUUCACAAUUCUGAUGUUGUCUCUCUUGUUGGAGAUCAGCCUUGGGUUCUGUUUUCCAGUUUACAAAGUAAUGCAAUGAAGAUGUUUGAUGGAAUGCCAAAAAGAAGAAUUAAGGACAGAAUGCCUAAUUUUCUCACCUUGGACCUUAUGGAACAAUUUAAGUCUGAUUUGGCUAUUAAUGAGUAUAUAAGCUGUGCUUUGAGAGCUUUAAGGGCAAUACAAAUGUUGAGGUUUCCAUUUGAGGAGGGAGGGGUUCUACGAGAACUAAAGAUUGUCGAGGCUUUGUUUAGGCAACUAUGUCAGUUGACAGAAACAAGUAUUAAAAUUGUUUCGGAUCAAUUGACCAUUGUGGACAUUACACUUUUGUCUCCUGUAAGUUUAAAGAUCACUCUCUUGGCUUUAGAAUGGAGCAAUUUACAUAUUAUAAGACCACCAAUCUUGAUUCUUACAGCAGUGUUUCUGCCCUUUGAAGAUUUUUCUAUUAUUUGUAGACAUUUCCAAAUAGUCUCAAGCAAGGAAAAUAUAGUGUACCACUUCAAGGUUAGUUAUACUGUUGACGUAAUGUUGAUGCCUCAUAUGACUCACACUCAUUUCCUUCCGUAUGAGGAUAUUAUUCUUACCUUGACAUUUGCAUAGUGGAGUUCAGAAGCUAUGAACUCAUGUAAGUUCAGGGCUACCUCUUUUCAUAAGAGUGCGUUACUAAAUAAUGAUUUUGCAUUGAUUGCCUUGUACCUGCACCUUAAGUCGGUUGAGAAAUUCAUGGAAAUAUUUUAGAACGUGUGGAUAAGCUGGAUAACACAACUUAUUGGUAUGCAUCACAAAGGUGCACUGAACAUGGAAUCUCUCAUUAAGUUGUAGAGGCUUUUACCAUUAACAGCAGUUAUGUUUAAGUACAUGAGUUCAUUGGCUGCUACCUAUAUUAUUUCUGAAAAUCAAAGACACGUUUGUCAUAUCUUUCACAUCGAUUCCAUUGUUCUGAUAACUGCUUUGGACAAGCAUUGUGAUAUUAAGGAGUUUGUAACAUGGGGCCACUUCAAUGCUACAUGUAAGAUCAACCUUGUGGCAGCCUUGUUUGUGUCUCUGAUGACUCAUAUUUGUUUAAUGGAGAGUGAGUUACCCAUUUCAAUCAGUCCAUAUUGCAAAUGGCUUGCUGCUGAAUUCUUUAAGGAAAAAAGGGAAAUUAUGAUAUAUGAUUGCCUGAGCAUAACUCUCAAGAUUGUUGGCAAAGAACUGCAAUCGCCAUUACAGAAAAUGUCAAAAGUUGUUCACACUUUUUCUUUAAUCGUUUCUGACCAGCUGGAUACUACUUUCAUGGAGAAAGUUGAUUAUGGUACACCAAUGGAAGUUUUUGCUAUUUGUAUCUAUGAAUGUGGAGCCAUUUUUCAGCAAGAAUUUUCUUAUGUUGUGAGACUUUUUGCUCUUCGCAAACUCAAUCUGGAUUUUUCUUCAAGGUAUUUCUCUGAUCUAAUUCCUUCAAUGGCUAGUGUGGAUGUUCAGCUUACAGUGUAUAGAAUUCGUCAUGAUUGAGCAUUACAAAUUCGUGGGCAUGCUUCUAACCCUAUUUUCACUACUAAGGGUAUCCACAUGUAGUUAUUUGCAUCAUUGUGGAUGAUGAUAAGGGAUCUCUUGACAUCAUUUUUCUUAAAGUUCCUGCACCGUUAAUUAUAUGGGAUAGUGAUGAUUCACACUAUGAGAAAUCUGGUAGGGUAGAAAUUCAAGAUUUAAGUUUUGUCAUGUAUGGUGGAGAAUGGAGACCAAUGCUUAGGGAAGUUCACUUAAUUGGGUGGUUGCUUGGCCACAUUAUUGCUUAUUUUCUUUGUUCAGCAAGACUGUUCAAAUUGUUGGUAGUAGAGAUAUAGAUACUAGACAAUUGAACUCAUGCCAACAAUGGCUUGACGACGUUGCUAUGUGGGAAAUAUCUCUUGCUGGGAGUGAAGUGGGUGCUGUUGCACCGAAGAUUUCCCCUUUCAAGCCUAUAACCACUAUUUUUGUUGGAACUAAUGAUGCCUUUGGAAUGUCUGAGGGAUAUGAUCUUCGGCAAUUUUUCAAAACUAUUCUGCCAGGACCAAGCAAGCUAAAUGGCUUACUGAAUGGUGAUGCACAAGAAUAUGUGGGUGAUUGGCAACACAAACAAGAGGGAGUGGGAGUUGAUACUUGGAAUGAGUUAACAUUUAAUGAUGACCAUGUGAGCAAUGUAUCCAGAUCUACAGUGGGAAAUGAGUUGACAUUUGUUAUCUCAGUUUACAAGAAUGGUGCAAUAUCAGUAAGUGAUACAAGGAGUGCGAAACAGUUCCUGGGUGUCAUUCCUUUCCUUGGUAUUGGGUGGCUCUUCAAUGUCAUCACCCGCAUUAUACUAUCGCACUCCAUUUGACAAUUUUUGGCACUUCCAUACAUAAGCUACUACUGGAGAUGUGCAUGGUAUAGUUUGAAAAUUGGCUGCUUUCUUUCCCAAACUGCUCCAUGCUUCUUUCACAGUUUGAGAGGCUUGAGGACAAGCCUCAUGUGAAGGGGGAUGGAUUGAUGCAACUCUAUGCUAUUGAGCUUCGGUUAUAACUAGUUAGAUCACCUAUUGUUAUUACUAUCCUUUAGGCCCAUUACAUAGGUAAUACCAUUAGGCCUGUCUACACUUCAAACCCUACUAUCUUUGAAUGUAUUUAAACUUCUUUUCUUAUGUAAAGAGGACUAUGAAUGAAGAUAUGAAUUUACUUUGAUUUCUUUUC
Molecule: long non-coding RNA, 4032 nt
Organism: Malus domestica (apple)
Lineage: Eukaryota; Viridiplantae; Streptophyta; Magnoliopsida; Rosales; Rosaceae
Source: RefSeq, a predicted model, not a curated record